AGGGGCGAGUUCCGCAAGGAGUUCAAGCAGAAGAACCCCAAGAACAAGUCUGUUGCUGCUGUAGGCAAAGCAGCCGGUGGGAGGUGGAAGAGCUUGAGCGAAUCAUGGUGUACCAUCUUUGCAAGGGCGUUGCUUUUUGCCACGGACGUGGUGUCCGGCACCAUGACCUUGAGCCACACAACCUGCAAAUUGGUGGAUGGGUUGGUAUCCUCUAGUUUGAUCCCAGCAAGAGGAAGUGUUCUCUUCUCUUUAUCAACCAAAGGCACUUUCUUCUCUCAUGGAUGGAUGGGACUCCAUCAAUUUAGUACCAGUUUAGGUGUUAUUAUUCUACUGAUGCUUGUGUUGAUUCCAUGCUUUUUGUCUUGUCAUGUGCUGAUAUUAACUGGCAGCAUCAGCUCCCAUGAUUGCUUGCUUGCUUUCUUACUCUAUAACCUGUACUGCUAA
RNAcentral lists this ribosomal RNA (444 nucleotides) under Triticum aestivum (bread wheat). RNAcentral's name for it is "partial small subunit ribosomal RNA". The record is from RNAcentral. Lineage: Eukaryota; Viridiplantae; Streptophyta; Magnoliopsida; Poales; Poaceae.